UCUUGACUCAGAUCGAAUUCAAAGCAAGAAGAAAGUUCGAUGUUACAAACUUACAAUGAGAUCUCGAGAAUGGUUAAGAGUUGAUAGAUGAGGAAGUUGUAUGUGUUACUAUCUGACUUGAACCACGUAAUAAAUAUUGCAACAAGAAGAUUUGGAAUUGCAAUGAUGUCUACACUGAUGGCAAACCCACCCAAGGUGGUUUUGCUAAUUCCAUGGUUGUUGAUCAAAA
Nicotiana tabacum (common tobacco) is the source of this 229-nucleotide long non-coding RNA. RefSeq lists it as uncharacterized. Lineage: Eukaryota; Viridiplantae; Streptophyta; Magnoliopsida; Solanales; Solanaceae. The record is from RefSeq and is a predicted model, not a curated record.